AGUGAACGCUGGCGGUAGGCCUAACACAUGCAAGUCGAACGGCAGCACAGGAGAGCUUGCUCUCUGGGUGGCGAGUGGCGGACGGGUGAGGAAUACAUCGGAAUCUACUCUGUCGUGGGGGAUAACGUAGGGAAACUUACGCUAAUACCGCAUACGACCUACGGGUGAAAGCAGGGGAUUUUCGGACCUUGCGCGAUUGAAUGAGCCGAUGUCGGAUUAGCUAGUUGGCGGGGUAAAGGCCCACCAAGGCGACGAUCCGUAGCUGGUCUGAGAGGAUGAUCAGCCACACUGGAACUGAGACACGGUCCAGACUCCUACGGGAGGCAGCAGUGGGGAAUAUUGGACAAUGGGCGCAAGCCUGAUCCAGCCAUACCGCGUGGGUGAAGAAGGCCUUCGGGUUGUAAAGCCCUUUUGUUGGGAAGGAAAUCCAGCUGGCUAAUACCCGGUUGGGAUGACGGUACCCAAAGAAUAAGCACCGGCUAACUUCGUGCCAGCCGCCGCCGUAA
Molecule: ribosomal RNA, 506 nt
Filed under: uncultured bacterium
Lineage: Bacteria
Description: partial 16S ribosomal RNA
Rfam family: Bacterial small subunit ribosomal RNA
Source: RNAcentral